Long non-coding RNA from Cyprinus carpio (common carp), 1455 nucleotides. RefSeq lists it as uncharacterized. The record is from RefSeq and is a predicted model, not a curated record. Lineage: Eukaryota; Metazoa; Chordata; Actinopteri; Cypriniformes; Cyprinidae. The transcript is spliced from 4 exons.
ACCGGCAUGCACUGCUUCAAGUCAGAUUCCAAUCGGUUUGCGCAGCGCUUCAUGAAGUCGAACGCACCUAUUGGAUGAACCUAUCAGGCUAGAUGAAAUAAUUACCUGUGUAGCAUGUAGGAAAGUAGGUCAUGGGGGUGGGGUCAUCUGCCUAGGUAUAUCAGGUGAUGCAGAUUAGAGGUAGACUAGUCAUUUGUACGAGUGACUGCCACAUGGUAAUGGAGUGGGGAGUUGAUUGGGGGAAGUGACGGAGUAGGUAGUGGGGGAUGGAUGAAUCUGAGCGUGGGUUUGGAGAGGAAGGUAGGCCAAAACGCAAGAAAAAGAAAUUUAAUAAAACCAGAUGAUGAGGAUAUGGAUAUCUCACAGCAAAUUAUCCAGUGUUGAAAUCCUAGUGUUGUGGAAUUUUAGAGUAAAGUGUUAAAGUUGUGGUGUUGAAUUUUAAAGGAUUAACACUAACUAGUGUAAACAGCCCCCUCUGGGCGGUGUUAAUACGCAGAGUUACCUUUAUUAACACUGUUGAGUGUUAAUAGUCACAUCCGGGACAUUUGCUCGUGUGCGCGCCUGACCCAUCUGAAAUAUUUUUUCACAGACACCAUUUUCUUUGCUCGCGAUGCGGCUCAUAUGAGAACGGAAUACGGCAAAAUAAAUUGUAUAAUCUUACUCAGAAAAUGUGUUUUGUAAUAUCAUAUCAUUUUAUAACGACAUUUAUUUGCUGUGUGCACAUAAACGUUUCUCAAGGACAUUUCCUUUCACUCACGAUGCGGAACAGACGAGGACGUCAUUUACUCCAAAACUUUUUUCUCAAGAGAGAUAUUUUCUUCCACUCACGAUGGGGAGAAUCUGUUUCUUAUCAAAGGAAAACACCAUAAAUUUGAAUCGCUAUGCAGCGCAGACCAUGGAGCAGACGCGGGUUACUUAGAGAAGGGAGAGAGCAGAAAGAGAUAUGUUCUUUCACUCGCGAAGCUGAGCAUACAAGGAAGUUGGUUUUAACAAGGAAAACACCGAAAGAGCACUUUUGUGAUGCUGCAAGUGGGAGUGGAUUUCUUGCUUGAAAACUGCAGAGAACCACAUCUUGUCCUGAAAAAAAGAAAGACUACUUUCUCCAAGGAGGUCCAAACGCCAUUGGCACAGACUUUGUUCAGUGAUCAGUAAACUACAUUCAGCCAGGGCCGUCCUUAGAGGGGUGCAACUGGAGCGGUCGCACCGGGCCCCGCACUUGAGGCGUAAACGGACUGAAUGAGCCCCCCCCUCCGCCAACCCGGGAACGCUCCCUACUUCACACCGGGCCCCGAAUCAGAUAAGUACGGCCCUGCAUUCAUGGUUGAUGGUAAUGAAUGAGAUGCUUUGGUUUAAGCAGAUAAAUGUAAGCACUAUAAACCUGAUGAAAUUGAGAAUACAGGUGGACCAAAUACGUUUUUUGUGCCUUUGCACUGAUUUGCUUUGACAUUGUUUUAA